RNAcentral lists this transfer RNA (75 nucleotides) under Actinomycetospora sp. NBRC 106375. RNAcentral's name for it is "tRNA-Val". Lineage: Bacteria; Bacillati; Actinomycetota; Actinomycetes; Pseudonocardiales; Pseudonocardiaceae. The record is from RNAcentral.
AUCGCCGCGUGGUCGCCGGCCGCGACGCCGAGCUUGACGUGCCCGUCGCCGAGCUUCGCGUCCUCGGCGGCGAUG